AACGUAGGACGCAAGCGUUAUCCGGAAUUACUGGGCGUAAAGCGCGUGUAGGUGGUUGCAUAAGUCACUGUUGAAAGCUCCCGGCUAAACUGGGAGAGGUGCGGUGAGACUGUGCGGCUAGAGUACGGGAGAGGGAUGCAGAAUUCCGGGUGUAGUGGUGAAAUGCGCAGAUAUCAGGAAGAACACCCGUGGCGAAGGCGGCUCUCUGGGACGGUACUGACGCUGAGACGCGAAAGCGUGGGGAGCGAACAGG
Molecule: ribosomal RNA, 253 nt
Filed under: uncultured bacterium
Lineage: Bacteria
Description: partial 16S ribosomal RNA
Rfam family: Bacterial small subunit ribosomal RNA
Source: RNAcentral